RNAcentral lists this ribosomal RNA (253 nucleotides) under uncultured bacterium. RNAcentral describes it as "partial 16S ribosomal RNA". It matches the Rfam family "Bacterial small subunit ribosomal RNA", at positions 524 to 776 of the family's 1533-position model. The record is from RNAcentral.
UACAGAGGGGGCAAGCGUUGUUCGGAAUUACUGGGCGUAAAGGGCGCGUAGGCGGCCUGCUAAGUCGAACGUGAAAUCCCUGGGCUCAACCCAGGAACUGCGUCCGAUACUGGUUGGCUUGAAUCCGGGAGAGGGAUGUGGAAUUCCAGGUGUAGCGGUGAAAUGCGUAGAUAUCUGGAGGAAUACCGGUGGCGAAGGCGGCAUCCUGGACCGACAUUGACGCUGAACGGCGAAAGCUAGGGGAGCAAACGGG